AGAAGAAUCUCACUCCCAGCUGAGUCUCUGAUCUCUCUCACCCACUCUCUCUCUCUCUCACCUCCAAUUCCAGGAAAAGCAGUAUUGGAGAGGAGGAAUCGAACUUAGAACCUCGAAUACAUAUGUAAAUGCUUUUAACCACUUGAGUUACAAACCUCUUGCAACAUAGUAGCAUUUGUUUUAGAGUAGUGUUUCAUUUGUUUAUAUCGUGAAAAUUAGUGCAUUUCGAAUUUCAUUUA
Long non-coding RNA from Prunus mume (Japanese apricot), 239 nucleotides. RefSeq lists it as uncharacterized. NCBI's taxonomy places the organism in Eukaryota, Viridiplantae, Streptophyta, Magnoliopsida, Rosales, Rosaceae. The record is from RefSeq and is a predicted model, not a curated record.